Molecule: ribosomal RNA, 468 nt
Filed under: uncultured bacterium
Lineage: Bacteria
Description: partial 16S ribosomal RNA
Rfam family: Bacterial small subunit ribosomal RNA
Source: RNAcentral
GACGAACGCUGGCGGCGUGCUUAACACAUGCAAGUCGAACGGAAAGGCCCUGCUUUUGUGGGGUGCUCGAGUGGCGAACGGGUGAGUAACACGUGAGUAACCUGCCCUUGACUUUGGGAUAACUUCAGGAAACUGGGGCCAAUACCGGAUAGGAGCUCCUGAUGCAUGGUGGGGGUAGGAAAGUUUCGGCGGUCGGGGAUGGACUGGCGGCUUAUCAGCUAGUUGGUGGGGUAGUGGCUUACCAAGGAAUUGACGGGUAGCCGGCCUGAGAGGGUGACCGGCCACAUUGGGACUGCGAUACGGCCCAGACUCCUACGGUAGGCAGCAGUGGGGAAUAUUGCACAAUGGUCGGAAGCCUGAUGCAGCAACGCCGCGUUCGGGAUGACGUCCUUCGGGUUGUAAACCGCUUUCGCCUGUGACGAAGCGUGAGUGACGGUAAUGGGUAAAGAAGCACCGGCUAACUACGUG